This is a long non-coding RNA of Solanum lycopersicum (tomato), 1896 nucleotides long. RefSeq lists it as uncharacterized. The record is from RefSeq and is a predicted model, not a curated record. Lineage: Eukaryota; Viridiplantae; Streptophyta; Magnoliopsida; Solanales; Solanaceae.
GUAAAAUGACACUAGGAAAAUUGAAGUUGAACGUAGUCAAAAAAGAUCAAUCGUAACAUAUUAACGUAGAAGGCAAGGGCGAAUCCACGUAAAGACUAUUUUUUCCUCUUGGUUUCUUGCCUUACUUCUAGGUUUCUAUUUUUGCACCUCAUAUCUUCCCCUCUUCUAGGCUUCUAUUUCCACCACCUAAUUCUAGGCUUUCUGUUUUCUUUCCCUACUUCUAAGCUUCUAAUUCCCUCUUUAAUAUUUUGUCUGUCUCUAAUUAUUUGUUAAUUUUUUUUUUAGUUGUACUCACUUUGUUGCUUGUCCAUUUUGCCAAAUCAAGAAACGACAAUUUUUUUUACCUAUUAUACAUUUCAUUAAUGGUAUAUUUAUAUAAAGGACGCCCUGAAACCGGUGACGUGGCGCCACCACAAGCCUUUAUUCUCCUUCUAAUUUUAAAAUUCCUAAAAUACCCUCCAUAAUUCUCCUUCAAUUCCCAAAAAAACCUCCCCCUCCAAACAGUCGUAUCCCUAACUAAACAACAUCUCCAUUGCCUUACCAACGUGCCUCUUCCAUACCGUCACCAUAUUAUUGUAUAAUACUCCUAAAUCAAUACUCACAUCUUACAUUGUUGUAACUCUGCCUACACAGAACCUUCAAUUCCCACCGUUGCUUCCUACUGCUACACUCAUUCCCCCCCUUAUGCUAAUAUGCAUGCACUAUCACUGCCUGAUUCUGAAUACAACAAGGAUUUCAAUCAAACCCCAGUCAGAUCAGCUAAACAUUGUUACAUUUUUCAUUCUUGCUUUACAUUCGCCAUAGCAUUUCUCGGUCUACUUAUAUGGAUGCAAAUGUACUGCCUGCUUCUAAGGACUCAAAGGAUUUAAAAAGCAAACCCCCGCCCAAUACAGUUUGUCACCCACCAUGACGCCCGCUAUUGACGCAAAUAAACUAUCUGGUCUGGACCCAAUGGAACAUACAAAAAGACCCUGGCCACCCCAGGUAUACAUACAUAAGUUUAACCGUUGCAUCAUUAAUUGGACGUUUCACCCUCACACCCUUCUCUUGAAUUUCAUUAUCCCUUAAAUCAUAAACAACUUUCUCAAAUCUAUAUAUACAUAGGCAUAUAACGAAUGUUGAAGAAACUAUAUCCAGUCCUUCAAUUCUAACCACUCAUACAGUAUUGUCAGGUAACUCCCAUAUUAUAACUUCUGCUUCUUUAUUUCUGGUUACAGUUAAUAUUUUCUCCUUCUUACUUCUUAAAAAGAACUACCUCCACAUCCUAUUGAAUGGGCAUACACGCACCUAUCAAAAUUGAGAAUCAAUUACUUGCGGCGAUAACACUCUCACACAAGGGCCUUCAUUCAGGAUUCUUUAUAAUAUUAUUUUAUUACCAAAAAUAACCUUCUUCUCGCAUGAAAAGUUGUGAUUUUUUUUUAUGUAACGUUACGAUUUUAAUGAAAAGUUAUGACUUUUUUGAAACAUCGUGACUUUAAUGAAAAGUCGCAACUUUUAUGAUAAGUUGCGACUUUUAUGAAAAGUUACAACUUUUAUGAAAAGUUGCUACUUUGAUGAAGAGUUGCGAUUUUUAUGAAAGGCCGUGAUCUUUCCAAAGAAUUACAACUUUUCCAAAUAGUUGUAACCUUUCUGAUAAGGCGCAAUAAAUAUUUUUUUUACACUUCCCUUUGUUGUCUAUAAAUAGAAAAAUUUCCUCUCGUUUUUUAACUACGAAGAUUCUGAACCUCCUCUUCUUCUUCUCCUCCUCCUUCACAAUUAUAUAUUUGUGUAUUUUGGACCUGUUGAAUAGCUCACUAACAGCAUUGCUUAUGAUACAUAUCCUGGUAUGUAUUUUUACAAUAAUUAAUUUAUUCAUAAUUUAUUAUGGAUAAAUGAUAAGAUGUAAUAAUUUUUUCA